UAUAUUCCGUUCAGUCGUAAAUUGAGAGCGAAGCAUAUCACGUACAAAAAUUAAAAUAAAAUAAAUAAAUACUAAUAAUAAAUAAUAAAUAAAAUACAUUUUUUUUAACAACCAUAAAGUGAACUUACAAGAACAAGCGAAGAUGGGAAACGAAGCAUCAAAAGUUCUAAUUGCAAAUAAAGUUAUAAAAGUUAACGAUAAUGCACCGAAUUCUCACUCUGAUGGAAGUGAAAUAAAUUUACAAGAGGUAAAUCAAACUGUCGCUAAUGAUCUGAAUGUUGAUGCCGCUGAAGCAAGUGAAAUAAAUGUAGAUGCUAAUAGGCAACUCAACAUCAAUACUGCGAUAGAUAUAAUCAAUAGCUUAGAAACGGCAAUGCAAGAUAUAUUAGAUCGUUCGCGUCAAGAUGAAGCCCAAGAAUCAAAUUUAUCGGCAGCAGUCCAAUUUACUACUCGUCAAUACCGCGAUGUUGGCACACAAACAGAGAUAAUUAGAACCUCUUGUAAGCGUGCUAAACGUUCCAUUCCUGAUGGUGCCGAUGCAAAGCGUCCAAGGCGUUUUAAGUGAAUUUUUCAUUUUGUUGAAAACUAAAGACACAGUUAAUUUCAUAUUUAAAAUUAAUUUCAAAAAACGUUUUUAGCUAUUCAGCUUAUCAUUCAAAUGGAUAAAAAUAAAAUAAUUAGCAGUUUGAACAGAAAAUUGUAUUAAAGAGAAAAUUGCACAGUUGAUGUCCAUCUUUUAUUUAUUUAUUUAAUAAAAACACAGAUCAAAAAAAAAUAUUAUAAGCGUUUACGUAUGUUUAGGAUGUCAAGCAAUCACUUCUUAUUUUAAUCUUAACAAUUAGGAUCAAAAGUAAGUCUAAUAUCAAAUUAAGCGCAAUCUUUAAGGAACUUUAAGGCAAUUGUUAAUUAAAAAGAUGUCCGACUCAAAAAUCAAAAAUAAUACAAAAUCAUAAAAUCAAAUAAGCUCCAAACAAUCUUAGAGGAUUCAAUAACGAGAAUAAAUCAAAUAAAAAUUUAUUUAUUUUUUAAAGGGUUCUAAAGCACAUUUCGUUAAUUUCAACUUGAAAUGUUAAUUCUGAAAUGAAAUAAAAUUUUAAAGCAAAAAGCAAAA
Long non-coding RNA from Drosophila albomicans, 1111 nucleotides. RefSeq lists it as uncharacterized. The transcript has 5 exons. The record is from RefSeq and is a predicted model, not a curated record. Lineage: Eukaryota; Metazoa; Arthropoda; Insecta; Diptera; Drosophilidae.